AUAUUAAUAAGCGGAGGAAAAGAAACUAACAAGGAUUCCCCUAGUAACGGCGAGUGAAGCGGGAAGAGCUCAAAGUGAAAACCGGGUGCCCAGGCGGGUUCUCGGGUUGUAGACUAGAGAUGUAAAGUCAGUAGUGGCCCGGGUAGAAAUCCUUUGGAACAGGGUGUCAGAGAGGGUGAGAACCCCGUCUUUGACUCGGAGCCCGCUGCGUACGACUUGCAUUCAAUGAGUCGAGUUGUUUGGGAUUGCAACUCUAAAUGGGUGGUAAAUUUCAUCUAAAGCUAAAUACUAGCGAGAGACCGAUAGCGAACAAGUACCGUGAGGGAAAGAUGAAAAGAACUUUGAAAAGAGAGUCAAAAAGUACUUGAAAUUGCUAAGAGGGAAGCGAUGGCCACCAGUCGUGCGCUCAGGGAUAUUUAGCGUCGUGGUGGGUUCCGGCGGGUGCGGGCCGUUCUGUAUGGUCGGCGCGCGUUCGUCGGGUGCCCAUGCGGCGUGUCGUUCCUGGGUGCGGGUCAGCAUCGGUUCGGACAGCCGGCGGAGAGAGUUGCGAGGAAGGUAGGCGCGUCACGGCUCGCCCGUGGAACGCUGUUAUAGCCUUGCAGCAG
This 605-nucleotide ribosomal RNA is filed under the name uncultured fungus. Its description in RNAcentral is "eukaryotic LSU rRNA". It matches the Rfam family "Eukaryotic large subunit ribosomal RNA", at positions 40 to 588 of the family's 3401-position model. Lineage: Eukaryota; Fungi. The record is from RNAcentral.